CAGUCGCCACGGUAAUACGGAGGGAGCUAGCGUUGUUCGGAAUUACUGGGCGUAAAGCGCGCGUAGGCGGUUACUCAAGUCAGAGGUGAAAGCCCGGGGCUCAACCCCGGAACUGCCUUUGAAACUAGGUGACUAGAAUCUUGGAGAGGUCAGUGGAAUUCCGAGUGUAGAGGUGAAAUUCGUAGGUAUUCGGAAGAACACCAGUGGCGAAGGCGACUGACUGGACAAGUAUUGACGCUGAGGUGCGAAAGCGUGGGGAGCAAACAGGAUUAGAUACCCCAGUAGUCCCUGUCUCUUAUAC
RNAcentral lists this ribosomal RNA (301 nucleotides) under uncultured bacterium. RNAcentral describes it as "partial 16S ribosomal RNA". It matches the Rfam family "Bacterial small subunit ribosomal RNA", at positions 509 to 807 of the family's 1533-position model. The record is from RNAcentral.